Molecule: non-coding RNA, 341 nt
Organism: Ceratotherium simum simum (southern white rhinoceros)
Lineage: Eukaryota; Metazoa; Chordata; Mammalia; Perissodactyla; Rhinocerotidae
Source: RefSeq, a predicted model, not a curated record
AAAAAACACCUGAUAAACGGAAAACGGAAAUGGCCCAACAGAAGGCUUCCCCUGAAACUAAAAAACAGAAAUUAGAAGCUGAACCACCUGUAACUUUUAGACUGCUUGUUGGAAACCUGAAUUUCAACAAAACCGAUGCUGAACUAAAAACUGGUCUCAGUGAAUUUUUUGCUAAAAAUGAUCUUGUGAUUGUUGGUGUCAGAGUCGGCUUGUCCAGAUUUGGUUAUGUGAAUUUUAAAUCUGCUGAGGACCAGGAAAAAGCCCUGGAACUUAGAGAUACAAAGGUCCUUGGGUAUGAAAUUAAAUUGAAGAAACCAAAGGGAAAGGAAAGAAAGAAAGGU